This 328-nucleotide ribosomal RNA is filed under the name uncultured eukaryote. Its description in RNAcentral is "partial 18S ribosomal RNA". It matches the Rfam family "Eukaryotic small subunit ribosomal RNA", at positions 1470 to 1796 of the family's 1831-position model. The record is from RNAcentral.
CCCUUAGAUGUCCUGGGCCGCACGCGCGUUACACUGAUGCAUUCAACGAGCUUAUAACCUUGGCCGAGAGGCCUGGGCAAUCUUGUUAACGUGCAUCGUGAUAGGGAUAGAUUAUUGAAAUUAUUAAUCUUGAACGAGGAAUUCCUAGUAAACGCAGAUCAUCAAUCUGCAUUGAUUACGUCCCUGCCCUUUGUACACACCGCCCGUCGCACCUACCGAUUGGAUGGUCCGGUGAAGCCUCGGGAUUGUGGUUCUUUCCGCUUUAUUGUGGCGUGACCGCGAGAACUUGUCUAAACCUUAUCAUCUAGAGGAAGGUGAAGUCGUAACA